Molecule: ribosomal RNA, 274 nt
Filed under: uncultured bacterium
Lineage: Bacteria
Description: partial 16S ribosomal RNA
Rfam family: Bacterial small subunit ribosomal RNA
Source: RNAcentral
AUACGGAGGGAGCAAGCGUUGUUCGGAAUCACUGGGCGUAAAGCGAGUGUAGGUUGUCAGGUAAGUAGGAUGUGAAAGCCCGGGGCUCAACCCCGGAAUUGCAUUCUAAACUGCCUGGCUAGAGUCCCGGAGAGGGAGGUGGAAUUCCGAGUGUAGAGGUGAAAUUCGUAGAUAUUCGGAGGAACACCAGAGGCGAAGGCGACCUCCUGGACGGUGACUGACACUGAGACUCGAAAGCGUGGGGAGCAAACAGGAUUAGAAACCCUAGUAGUCC